UUCGUAGGGGGCAAGCGUUGUCCGGAUUCAUUGGGCGUAAAGAGCGUGUAGGCGGCCAGGUAGGUCGGUUGUGAAAACUGGAGGCUCAACCUUCAGAGGUCGACCGAAACCAUCUGGCUAGAGUCCGGGAGAGGGAAGUGGAAUUCCCGGUGUAGUGGUGAAAUGCGUAGAUAUCGGGAGGAACACCAGUGGCGAAGGCGGCGCCCUGGCACGCAACUGACGCUCAGACACGACAGCAUGGGGAGCGAACGGG
RNAcentral lists this ribosomal RNA (253 nucleotides) under uncultured bacterium. RNAcentral's name for it is "partial 16S ribosomal RNA". It matches the Rfam family "Bacterial small subunit ribosomal RNA", at positions 524 to 776 of the family's 1533-position model. The record is from RNAcentral.